GGGCCAGUGGCGCAAUGGAUAACGCGUCUGACCACGGAUCAGAAGAUUCUAGGUUCAACUCCUUGCUGGCUCG
RNAcentral lists this transfer RNA (73 nucleotides) under Danionella translucida. It matches the Rfam family "tRNA". Rfam says of the family: Transfer RNA (tRNA) molecules are approximately 80 nucleotides in length. Their secondary structure includes four short double-helical elements and three loops (D, anti-codon, and T loops). RNAcentral also lists the same sequence under 1 other name. The record is from Rfam by way of RNAcentral. Lineage: Eukaryota; Metazoa; Chordata; Actinopteri; Cypriniformes; Danionidae.